ACGGAAGGCAGCAGUGGGGAAUAUUGGGCAAUGGGCGCAAGCCUGACCCAGCAACGCCGCGUGAGGGAAGAAGGUUUUCGGAUUGUAAACCUCUUUCAGCAGGGAAGAAGGAAGUGACGGUACCUGCAGAAGAAGUCACGGCUAACUACGUGCCAGCAGCCGCGGUAAUACGUAGGUGGCGAGCGUUAUCCGGAAUUACUGGGUGUAAAGGGUGUGUAGGCGGGGAAGCAAGUCAGGUGUGAAAAUUUUGGGCUCAACCCAGGACGUGCACUUGAAACUGUUUUUCUUGAGAGUGGGAGAGGUAAACGGAAUUCCUGGUGUAGUAGUGAAAUGCGUAGAUAUCAGGAGGAACACCGGUGGCGAAGGCGGUUUACUGGACCACAACUGACGCUGAGACACGAAAGCGUGGGGAGCAAACAGGAUUAGAUACCCUGGUA
RNAcentral lists this ribosomal RNA (437 nucleotides) under uncultured Oscillospiraceae bacterium. Its description in RNAcentral is "bacterial SSU rRNA". It matches the Rfam family "Bacterial small subunit ribosomal RNA", at positions 341 to 792 of the family's 1533-position model. The record is from RNAcentral. Lineage: Bacteria; Bacillati; Bacillota; Clostridia; Eubacteriales; Oscillospiraceae.